GCAAGUCGAGCGAGAAAGUUCUUCGGAACGAGUACAGCGGCGGACGGGUGAGUAAUGCAUAGGAAUCUACCCAGUAGCGGGGGACAACCUGGUGAAAACCAGGCUAAUACCGCAUACGCCCUACGGGGGAAAGCAGGGGAUCUUCGGACCUUGCACUAUUGGAUGAGCCUAUGUCAGAUUAGCUUGUUGGUGAGGUAAUGGCUCACCAAGGCGACGAUCUGUAGCUGGUUUGAGAGGAUGAUC
This 243-nucleotide ribosomal RNA is filed under the name uncultured bacterium. RNAcentral's name for it is "partial 16S ribosomal RNA". It matches the Rfam family "Bacterial small subunit ribosomal RNA", at positions 57 to 305 of the family's 1533-position model. The record is from RNAcentral.